GCAGUAAGUACCAUGGUUUAGUGGUAUAAUGCCCACCUGCCACGUGGACGACCCGGGUUCUAUUCCCGGUCAGUGCA
Molecule: non-coding RNA, 77 nt
Organism: Parelaphostrongylus tenuis
Lineage: Eukaryota; Metazoa; Nematoda; Chromadorea; Rhabditida; Metastrongylidae
Source: the annotation of a GenBank genome assembly